AGAGUUUGAUCAUGGCUCAGGAUGAACGCUAGCGGCAGGCUUAAUACAUGCAAGUCGAGGGGCAGCAUGACUGUAGCAAUACAGUUGAUGGCGACCGGCAAACGGGUGCGGAACACGUACAGAACCUUCCUUCGAGCGGGGAAUAGCCCAGAGAAAUUUGGAUUAAUACCCCAUAGUAUAUUGAAGUGGCAUCACUUUAAUAUUAAAGAUUUAUCACUUGAAGAUGGCUGUGCGGCUGAUUAGAUAGUUGGCGGGGUAACGGCCCACCAAGUCUGCGAUCAGUAACUGGUGUGAGAGCACGACCAGUCACACGGGCACUGAGACACGGGCCCGACUCCUACGGGAGGCAGCAGUAAGGAAUAUUGGUCAAUGGACGAAAGUCUGAACCAGCCAUGCCGCGUGGAGGAUGAAGGUCCUCUGGAUUGUAAACUUCUUUUAUAUGGGACGAAAAAAGGCUUUUCUAAGUCGUCUGACGGUACCAUAUGAAUAAGCACCGGCUAACUCCGUGCCAGCAGCCGCGGUAAUACGGAGGGUGCAAGCGUUAUCCGGAUUCACUGGGUUUAAAGGGUGCGUAGGUGGGUUGGUAAGUCAGUGGUGAAAUCUCCGAGCUUAACUUGGAAACUGCCAUUGAUACUAUUAAUCUUGAAUAUUGUGGAGGUUAGCGGAAUAUGUCAUGUAGCGGUGAAAUGCUUAGAUAUGACAUAGAACACCAAUUGCGAAGGCAGCUGGCUACACAUAUAUUGACACUGAGGCACGAAAGCGUGGGGAUCAAACAGGAUUAGAUACCCUGGUAGUCCACGCCCUAAACUAU
This 811-nucleotide ribosomal RNA is filed under the name uncultured bacterium. Its description in RNAcentral is "bacterial SSU rRNA". It matches the Rfam family "Bacterial small subunit ribosomal RNA", at positions 8 to 810 of the family's 1533-position model. The record is from RNAcentral.